This 433-nucleotide ribosomal RNA is filed under the name uncultured bacterium. RNAcentral describes it as "partial 16S ribosomal RNA". It matches the Rfam family "Bacterial small subunit ribosomal RNA", at positions 29 to 507 of the family's 1533-position model. The record is from RNAcentral.
AACGAACGCUGGCGGCAUGCCUAACACAUGCAAGUCGAACGAGACCUUCGGGUCUAGUGGCGCAUGGGUGCGUAACGCGUGGGAACCUGCCCUUAGGUUCGGAAUAACUCCCCGACAGGGGUGCUAACACCGGAUAAUGUCUUCGGACCAAAGAUUUAUCGCCUUUGGAUGGGCCCGCGUUGGAUUAGCUUGUUGGUAGGGUAAAAGCCUACCAAGGCGACGAUCCAUAGCUGGUUUGAGAGGAUGGUCAGCCACACUGGGACUGGGAAACGGCGCAGACUCCUACGGGAGGCAGCAGUGGGGGAUAUUGGACAAUGGGGUAAAGCAUGAUCCAGCAAUGCCGCGUGAGUGAUGAAGGCCUUAGGGUUGUAAAGCUCUUUUACCCGGGAUGAUAAUGACGGUACCGGAAGAAUAAGCUCCGGCUAACUCCAUG